GUGUAUGUCUGUCGUGUUUUCUGACCCCAAAUAAUAAAUACUUUCGCAAGAUAUGUUUCUAGCCUCUUGGUGUUUUUUCAUGGUAUGCACUUCAAGGUCACACAUGAAACAGGCCAUUGGGAAGCGGAAAUAUCCGCGCCUCCGUCCUCCGUCCCCAUUUCGAAAUCAGUUCCUACACACCUGUUACAUAAAGCAAGAGAAAGAGAACGAAAAAUACCCGUUUACUGGAAACCUGCCGCGGAAAUUGUCUGGAUUUCAUUAGAAGUGUUUGUGUUUGCUCUCUUCAUAUUGAAUAAGUCGUUGUGCCACCAUAAUCACUGGACGAUAAGGAACCUUUAAGCGCUUUACAAAUAAGGCUCAGACUUUUUCUCGAGGUCUCGUGUCUUCCAUUAGGGAGUAGCGGAUACAUCGAUUCCUUUUAUUAAUUUUGAUGAGGAGAACCAGAGUAACAGUGUUAAGUACUGGUGUUCUAUUGGAUGAAGACGCAGACUACAAACUAGGACUCUGUCAUGAAAUAGAUGGCGCUGUGUAACACAUGUUGAUGACUGAUCUUUGACGUCCUGUAUCCGACAGCAGGAAAUGGCUUUGUCUUCUAACAUGUCCUUUAUCGUCAGUUCUGCGGACAUAAUCGGGACCGUCUUUGUACUUCUGCCACUGGUUGUCCAACUUAUCCUUAUGGUUCUGUCCAUUCUACGCGCUAAAGGAACAAGCAUUCAGGAGGAAGAGGAAUACUGUUUCACCGGAAGUGAUGUUAAUAACAACUGUAAAGAAAUUGUACGAUCCACAGCAGAACAAAAACCGGAGAACAAGUAGACCAUGGGAAUGUCUAUCGUUCUUCACAGCCUCAGUAUGGUCUAUUGGUCCACUGUAUCAAAUGAACUGUCAAACAGAAACUCACGGCGAACUCGUAGACACGGAUAUUCCAGUGACAGCGGAGCGGGGGUAUACCUCCCCAUUCCCUGCGAGUUGGUUUGGUUGGAUAACUUUACGAGAAAAGAUCACUUUGCGUCAGUUAUGGGGUUGUGAUCAGACAAAAAAAAACUUACCGUGUUAGACUGCAAUUCCUUUUGAAUAUUUUCUGUGGAUGCGCCUUCUAUGUUCUCUCUUGUUGGAGUAGGAGUUAAGAUUGUCAAGUGAAAAGAAAGACAGUAUGCCAGUGUAUUUUACUGAUUUACUUUGUGCCAAAACUAAGCAUUAAAUGUAGUUAUUUCAGAAAUUAAGAUAGAUGUGUCUACAAUGUAUAUUAGAUAAAAUUCAUGUAUAGAUAUUAAAA
Molecule: long non-coding RNA, 1273 nt
Organism: Ostrea edulis (European flat oyster)
Lineage: Eukaryota; Metazoa; Mollusca; Bivalvia; Ostreida; Ostreidae
Exons: 3
Source: RefSeq, a predicted model, not a curated record